CUGCUCACCAAUGUUUAGGGGAUCUGAGAGGAUGACCCCCCACACUGGUACUGAGACACGGACCAGACUCCUACGGGAGGCAGCAGUAAGGAAUAUUGGUCAAUGGGCGGAAGCCUGAACCAGCCAUGCCGCGUGCAGGAAGACGGCCCUACGGGUUGUAAACUGCUUUUAUACCGGAAUAAACCUUGAUUCGUGAAUUGAGCUGAAUGUACGGUAAGAAUAAGGAUCGGCUAACUCCGUGCCAGCAGCCGCGGUAAUACGGAGGAUCCAAGCGUUAUCCGGAUUUAUUGGGUUUAAAGGGUGCGUAGGUGGUUCUUUAAGUCAGGGGUGAAAGACGGUAGCUUAACUAUCGCAGUGCCUUUGAUACUGAAGAACUUGAAUACACUAGAGGUAGGCGGAAUGUGACAAGUAGCGGUGAAAUGCAUAGAUAUGUCACAGAACACCAAUUGCGAAGGCAGCUUACUAUGGUGUCAUUGACACUGAGGCACGAAAGCGUGGGGAUCAAAUAGGAUUAGAUACCCUGGUAGUCCACGCCCUAAACGAUGAAUACUCGAUGUUGGCGAUAUACGGUCAGCGUCUAAGCGAAAGCGUUAAGUAUUCCACCUGGGGAGUACGCCCGCAAGGGUGAAACUCAAAGGAAUUGACGGGGGCCCGCACAAGCGGAAGAGCAUGUGGUUUAAUUCGAUGAUACGCGAGGAACCUUACCCGGGCUUGAAAGUUAGUGAAUUGAGCAGAGACGCUCAAGUCCUUCGGGACACGAAACUAGGUGCUGCAUGGCUGUCGUCAGCUCGUGCCGUGAGGUGUUGGGUUAAGUCCCGCAACGAGCGCAACCCCUAUGUUUAGUUGCCAGCACGUCAAGGUGGGGACUCUAAACAGACUGCCUAUGCAAAUAGAGAGGAAGGAGGGGACGACGUCAAGUCAUCAUGGCCCUUACGUCCGGGGCUACACACGUGCUACAAUGGGCAGUACAGAGGGCAGCUACCUGGCAACAGGAUGCCAAUCUCAUAAAGCUGUUCACAGUUCGGAUCGGGGUCUGCAACUCGACCCCGUGAAGUUGGAUUCGCUAGUAAUCGCGUAUCAGCAAUGACGCGGUGAAUACGUUCCCGGGCCUUGUACACACCGCCCGUCAAGCCAUGGAAGCUGGAAGUGCCUGAAGUGCGUAACCGCAAGGAGCGUCCUAGGGUAAAGUCGGUAACUGGGGCUAAGUCGUAACAAGGUA
Molecule: ribosomal RNA, 1219 nt
Filed under: metagenome
Description: bacterial SSU rRNA
Rfam family: Bacterial small subunit ribosomal RNA
Source: RNAcentral